ACCCACCUGGCUCGUGCUCCUGCACGCACCGUGCGCGCAUGUGUUUAGUCGAGAGCAUAACUCUAAUUUUCUCUCAAGUAACUUGCUUAAGAAUAAAGGAAUAUAUAAAUACCAAUAACACACUUUUAGUUUCCAAUGUGGGACUAUUCCUCACAUGUGGAAACCUUAGUUGGGCUUCUAAGCAAGGCCCAUCAAUUAUUGGGUUCCCCAAGAGGCUCAUGAAGUUUAAAAUCACCAAAAAUCCAAUAAAAU
This 252-nucleotide long non-coding RNA is filed under the name Ananas comosus (pineapple). RNAcentral's name for it is "long non-coding RNA (ACOM_LNC012081)". The record is from RNAcentral. Lineage: Eukaryota; Viridiplantae; Streptophyta; Magnoliopsida; Poales; Bromeliaceae.